Long non-coding RNA from Marmota monax (woodchuck), 650 nucleotides. RefSeq lists it as uncharacterized. The transcript is spliced from 3 exons. The record is from RefSeq and is a predicted model, not a curated record. NCBI's taxonomy places the organism in Eukaryota, Metazoa, Chordata, Mammalia, Rodentia, Sciuridae.
UGUGGGUCCAGGGCAGAAGGGGCAGCCGGCUUGGGGCCCUUGGGCUCCAGCUCCCGCCUGAUCCUCAUUUUCCUGUAAAGACAGGGGCACGUGUGGCAGGGUCUUCUCCCUCCUGCGGCGGGGAAUGGGCUGUGACUAGGGUGCUGGUGAAAAGAGUUCUUAAAAAUCAUGAGCCCGAGGUAGACUGAUCACAUGACUUCGGUCCUUUAGGCUCCUAUAAAGAACAAGGGCCUUCUCCAAUAUGUUCCCAACUCAACCAUCCCACUCUGAGAUCCUUCCAUUUUAAAGAUCAUGGAGUGGAGACACAGGUUUUGACAGCACGAAGAUGCACCCAAGCCUCCAUUUCCAGCCCACACAGCAGCAGGUGGGCAGCAGGUGGAAUCCCCAGAGGUGACACGGCUGGAUCAUGAGAGCUGAAGCUAAUCGGUUCGCCCUGGUGUGACUAAACGGUGUGGUGGCUGUAGGCUGGCAGAGGCAGGUCACUGGACUGUGCCCUGGAAGGGUCAUCAUCCCUGCAGACCCUUCCCCCUGCUCUGCCUCCCAACUGCCAGGGGGUGAGCAGCUUCCCUCUGCCACGCCCCAUGGACCCAGCUGACCACGCACUGGACUUCUGAAAUUUAUAAACUUGAAAUAAACUUUUCCUGCUCUAA